AUGCUCACUUCAGUGGCACACAUACUAAAAUUGGGACAAUACAGAGAUUAGCAUGGCCCCUCCACAAGGAUGACACACAAAUCUGUGAAGCUCGCUCUCUCUCU
This is a non-coding RNA of Pteropus alecto (black flying fox), 104 nucleotides long. Lineage: Eukaryota; Metazoa; Chordata; Mammalia; Chiroptera; Pteropodidae. The record is from Rfam.